RNAcentral lists this ribosomal RNA (254 nucleotides) under uncultured bacterium. Its description in RNAcentral is "partial 16S ribosomal RNA". It matches the Rfam family "Bacterial small subunit ribosomal RNA", at positions 524 to 776 of the family's 1533-position model. The record is from RNAcentral.
UACGAAGGGUGCAAGCGUUACUCGGAAUUACUGGGCGUAAAGCGUGCGCAGGCGGUUUUGUAAGUCUGUCGUGAAAUCCCCGGGCUCAACCUGGGAAUGGCGAUGGAGACUGCAAGGCUAGAGUUUGGCAGAGGGGGGGUAGAAUUCCACGUGUAGCAGUGAAAUGCGUAGAUAUGUGGAGGAACACCGAUGGCGAAGGCAGCCCCCUGGGUCAAAACUGACGCUCAUGCACGAAAGCGUGGGGAGCAAACAGG